GCGGGCCGUCUGAGGCGGGCGGCGUCCGCGCUGCUGCUCCGGAGCCCGCGCCUGCCCGCCCGGGAGUUGUCGGCUCCUGCCAGGCUCUACCACAAGAAGGUUGUGGAUCAUUAUGAAAACCCUAGGAACGUGGGGUCCCUUGACAAGACAUCUAAAAAUGUUGGAACCGGACUGGUGGGGGCUCCGGCAUGUGGUGACGUCAUGAAACUGCAGGUACUGGCUGGAUGAAAAGGAUCACCCCCUGCACCCCAACAAGAAGUUUGCUCACAGAGCAUUUCAUCUUGUCUGCCAUUCCUGUGAGGAGGGAUGGGCGGCUGACAAGGAUGGGUCUCUGUUCCGAAACAG
RNAcentral lists this long non-coding RNA (345 nucleotides) under Rattus norvegicus (Norway rat). Its description in RNAcentral is "long non-coding RNA NONRATT008083". Lineage: Eukaryota; Metazoa; Chordata; Mammalia; Rodentia; Muridae. The record is from RNAcentral.